This 468-nucleotide ribosomal RNA is filed under the name uncultured bacterium. RNAcentral's name for it is "partial 16S ribosomal RNA". It matches the Rfam family "Bacterial small subunit ribosomal RNA", at positions 28 to 507 of the family's 1533-position model. The record is from RNAcentral.
GACGAACGCUGGCGGCGUGCUUAACACAUGCAAGUCGAACGGAAAGGCCCUGCUUUUGUGGGGUGCUCGAGUGGCGAACGGGUGAGUAACACGUGAGUAACCUGCCCUUGACUUUGGGAUAACUUCAGGAAACUGGGGCUAAUACCGGAUAGGAGCUCCUGCUGCAUGGUGGGGGUUGGAAAGUUUCGGCGGUUGGGGAUGGACUCGCGGCUUAUCAGCUUGUUGGUGGGGUAGUGGCUUACCAAGGCUUUGACGGGUCGCCGGCCUGGGAGGGUGACCGGCGACAUUGGGACUGAGGGACGGCCCAGACUCCUACGGGAGGCAACGGUGGGGAAUAUUGUACAAUGGGCGGAAGCCUGUUGCAGAAACGCCGCGUGCGGGAUGACGGCCUUCGGGGUGUAAACCGCUUCCGCCUGUGACGACGCGUGAGUGACGGUAAUGGGUAAAGAAGCACCGGCUAACUACGUG